Molecule: ribosomal RNA, 490 nt
Filed under: uncultured bacterium
Lineage: Bacteria
Description: partial 16S ribosomal RNA
Rfam family: Bacterial small subunit ribosomal RNA
Source: RNAcentral
AUUGAACGCUGGCGGCAUGCCUAACACAUGCAAGUCGAAUGGUAACACGAAACAUUUUGCUGUUUCGCGGAUGAGUGGCGGGCGGGUGAGACAUGUGUGGGAAACCGCCUGAUGGGGGGGGAUAACUACUGGAAACGGUAACUACUACCGCAUAACGCCGCAAGACCAAAGGGGGGGUCCUUCCUGCCUCUUUCCAUCAGAUGUGCGCAGGUGGGAUUAGCUAGUAGGUGGGGUAACGGCUCACCUAGGGGACGAUCCCUAGCUGGUCUGAGAGGAUGACCAGCCACACUGGAACUGAGACACGGUCCAGACUCCUACGGGAGGCAGCAGUGGGGAAUAUUGGACAAUGGGCGAAAGCCUGAUGCAGCCAUGCCGCGUGUAUGAAGAAGGCCUUCGGGUUGUAAAGUACUUUCGGCGGGGAGGAAAGGAGUAAAGUUAAUACCUUUGCGCAUUGACGUUACCCGAAGAAGAAGCACCGGCUAACUACGUG